This 253-nucleotide ribosomal RNA is filed under the name uncultured bacterium. RNAcentral's name for it is "partial 16S ribosomal RNA". It matches the Rfam family "Bacterial small subunit ribosomal RNA", at positions 524 to 776 of the family's 1533-position model. The record is from RNAcentral.
UACGGGGGGGGUAAGCGUUGUUCGGAAUUACUGGGCGUAAAGGGCUCGUAGGCGGCCAACUAAGUCAUACGUGAAAUCCCUCAGCUUAACUGGGGAACUGCGUGUGAUACUGGAUGGCUUGGAUUUGGGAGAGGGAUGCGGAAUUCCAGGUGUAGCGGUGAAAUGCGUAGAUAUCUGGAGGAAUACCGGCGGCGAAGGCGGCAUCCUGGACCGGCAUUGACGCUGAGGAGCGAAAGCCAGGGGAGCAAACGGG